UCAAACUUGUGAUUCUCCUACCAUCCC
RNAcentral lists this non-coding RNA (27 nucleotides) under Mus musculus (house mouse). The record is from RNAcentral. Lineage: Eukaryota; Metazoa; Chordata; Mammalia; Rodentia; Muridae.